Non-coding RNA from Salvelinus sp. IW2-2015, 285 nucleotides. The record is from RefSeq and is a predicted model, not a curated record. Lineage: Eukaryota; Metazoa; Chordata; Actinopteri; Salmoniformes; Salmonidae.
UCAAUGAGAGUGCCAAAUCAUUGCUUAAUAUACAGGAUUUGCUUCCGAACUACCACAAUGAGACCAGUACAUAUAGGGACAACAGGAACACACUGUUUACAACGCGGAGAGAAUUGACAAGGAAACGGACAACAGAACAGGGGGGACUCACUUCCAGACCCAUAUCGAGAUCAAUGGCCAAUGGAAGAAGUUGAACUUGAAUGUAUGCUUGAUGAAGAUUGUGGUAAGAACAGUUACUGCCUAUAUGAGAUAGUAAGCUCCAAGUGCCUCCCCUGCAGAGAUGUU